UACAGAGGGUGCAAGCGUUGUUCGGAAUUAUUGGGCGUAAAGGGCGCGUAGGCGGUGCCACAAGUCACCUGUGAAAUCUCCGGGCUCAACUCGGAGUCUGCAGGAGAAACUGCCGUGCUUGAGUGUGGGAGAGGUGAGUGGAAUUCCCGGUGUAGCGGUGAAAUGCGUAGAUAUCGUAAGGAAGACCAGUGGCGAAGGCGGGUCUCUGGACAGUUCCUGACGCUGAGGCACGAAGGUCAGGGGAGCAAACGGG
This 253-nucleotide ribosomal RNA is filed under the name uncultured bacterium. Its description in RNAcentral is "partial 16S ribosomal RNA". It matches the Rfam family "Bacterial small subunit ribosomal RNA", at positions 524 to 776 of the family's 1533-position model. The record is from RNAcentral.